This 348-nucleotide unclassified non-coding RNA is filed under the name soil metagenome. RNAcentral describes it as "partial contains 5.8S ribosomal RNA, internal transcribed spacer 2, and large subunit ribosomal RNA". The stretch from base 1 to 120 matches the Rfam family "5.8S ribosomal RNA", at positions 35 to 154 of the family's 154-position model. The record is from RNAcentral.
GAUGAAGAACGCAGCGAAAUGCGAUAAGUAAUGUGAAUUGCAGAAUUCAGUGAAUCAUCGAAUCUUUGAACGCACAUUGCGCCCGCCAGUAUUCUGGCGGGCAUGCCUGUCUGAGCGUCAUUUCAACCCUCAUGCCCCUAGGGCGUGGUGUUGGGGAUCGGCCAAAGCCCGCGAGGGACGGCCGGCCCCUAAAUCUAGUGGCGGACCCGUCGUGGCCUCCUCUGCGAAGUAGUGAUAUUCCGCAUCGGAGAGCGAUGAGCCCCUGCCGUUAAACCCCCAACUUUCCAAGGUUGACCUCAGAUCAGGUAGGAAUACCCGCUGAAAUUAAGCAUAUCAAUAAGCGGAGGA